This 486-nucleotide ribosomal RNA is filed under the name uncultured bacterium. RNAcentral describes it as "partial 16S ribosomal RNA". It matches the Rfam family "Bacterial small subunit ribosomal RNA", at positions 28 to 507 of the family's 1533-position model. The record is from RNAcentral.
GAUGAACGCUGGCGGCGUGCCUAAUACAUGCAAGUCGAACGCUGGAACUCUAGCUUGCUAGAUUGAAGGAGUGGCGAACGGGUGAGUAAUACAUAAGCAACCUACCCACGAAGACUGGGAUAAUCUCUGGAAACGGGGACUAAUACCGGAUAGGUAAUCGGAAGGCAUCUUCUGAUUAUUAAAGGUUACAAACACUGGUGGAUGGGCUUAUGGCGCAUUAGUUAGUUGGUGAGGUAACGGCCCACCAAGACGAUGAUGCGUAGCCGGCCGGAGAGGGUGAACGGCCAAAUUGGGACUGAGACACGGACCAGACUCCUACGGGAGGCAGCAGUAGGGAAGUUUCGGCAAUGGGGGAAACCCUGACCGAGCAACGCCGCGUGAGUGAUGACGGCCUUCGGGUUGUAAAGCUCUGUUGUAAGGGAAGAACGGUAGAUAGAGAAUAUCUAAAUGACGGUACCUUACCAGAAAGCCACGGCUAACUACGUG